Small nuclear RNA from Apodemus sylvaticus (European woodmouse), 106 nucleotides. The record is from RefSeq and is a predicted model, not a curated record. Lineage: Eukaryota; Metazoa; Chordata; Mammalia; Rodentia; Muridae.
UGCUCAGUUUGGCAGCAUAUUUACUAAAAUUAGAAAGAUACAGAGAAGAUUAGCAUGGCCCCUGUGCAGGAAUGACAUGCCAGUUUGUGAAGCAAUUCAUAUUUUU